CCCUUAGUAAUGGCGAAUGAAACGGGCAGAGCCCAGCACCGAACUGCCGGCCAUCUCGGUCGCGCGGAAUGUGGUGUUUGGGAGAGCCUCAUCGUUGUGAGCCGGGGCGUUCAAGUACGCCUUGACUGGGACCACGGCCCAUAGAGGGUGAUAGGCCCGUAAGACCCCUGGCUCGCUGCGCUGGCUCCUCCCUAGAGUCGAGUUGUUUGGGAGUACAGCUCAAAGUGCCUGGUACACUCCAGGUAAGGCUAAAUAUAACCCCGAGACCGAUAGCGAACAAGUACCGUGAGGGAAAGUUGAAAAGCACUUUGAAGAGAGAGUUCAAGAGUACGUGAAACUGUGUAGUAGUAAACGAAGGGGACCUCGAAGUCGGCGGCGACGGUUCAGGGUGAUGGCGGGGUGGCCUGGAGGCUUGGGAUCCGCAAGGACUCAGUCUCUUUGUUGGCCUCGUCAGCGCCUGCACUCCGUUGCCGCCUCACGCGACGAACCGUUGUUGGCGGAUCAAGGCCUUGGGUGAAGUUUGGCGGUUCUUCGGAGCUGCCAAG
This 545-nucleotide ribosomal RNA is filed under the name Oithona brevicornis. RNAcentral describes it as "LSU rRNA". It matches the Rfam family "Eukaryotic large subunit ribosomal RNA", at positions 77 to 562 of the family's 3401-position model. The record is from RNAcentral. Lineage: Eukaryota; Metazoa; Arthropoda; Copepoda; Cyclopoida; Oithonidae.